ACGUAGGCAGCGAGCGUUGUUCGGAGUUACUGGGCGUAAAGGGUGUGUAGGCGGUUGUCCAAGUUUGGUGUGAAAUCUCCCGGCUCAACCGGGAGGGUGCGCCGAAAACUGGGGAACUAGAGUGCGGGAUGGGAGAGUGGAAUUCCUGGUGUAGCGGUGAAAUGCGCAGAUAUCAGGAAGAACACCCGUGGCUAAGGCGGCUCUCUAGUACGGUACUGACGCUGAGACGCGAAAGCGUGGGGAGCGAACAGGA
Molecule: ribosomal RNA, 253 nt
Filed under: uncultured prokaryote
Description: partial 16S ribosomal RNA
Rfam family: Bacterial small subunit ribosomal RNA
Source: RNAcentral